Molecule: ribosomal RNA, 306 nt
Filed under: Sinomonas cyclohexanicum
Lineage: Bacteria; Bacillati; Actinomycetota; Actinomycetes; Micrococcales; Micrococcaceae
Description: bacterial SSU rRNA
Rfam family: Bacterial small subunit ribosomal RNA
Source: RNAcentral
UAUUGGGCGUAAGAGCUCGUAGGCGGCUUGUCGCGUCUGCUGUGAAAGCCCGGCGCUCAACCCCGGGUCUGCAUCUGGGUACGGGCAGGCUGGAGUGCACUAAGGGAGACUGGAAUUCCUGGUGUAGCGGUGAAAUGCGCAGAUAUCAGGAGGAACACCGAUGGCGAAGGCACGUCUCUGGGCUGUAACUGACGCUGAGGAGCGAAAGCAUGGGGAGCGAACAGGAUUAGAUACCCUGGUAGUCCAUGCCGUAAACGUUGGGCACUAGGUGUGGGGGGCAUUCCACCUCCUCCGCGCCGCAGCUAA